AUUGAACGCUGGCGGCAUGCUUUACACAUGCCAGUCGAACGGCAGCGCGGGCUUCGGCCUGGCGGCGAGUGGCGAACGGGUGAGUAAUGCAUCGGAACGUGCCCAGUAGUGGGGGAUAGCCCGGCGAAAGCCGGAUUAAUACCGCAUACGACCUGAGGGUGAAAGCGGGGGACCGAAAGGCCUCGCGCUAUUGGAGCGGCCGAUGUCGGAUUAGCUAGUUGGUGGGGUAAAGGCUUACCAAGGCGACGAUCCGUAGCUGGUCUGAGAGGACGACCAGCCACACUGGGACUGAGACACGGCCCAGACUCCUACGGGAGGCAGCAGUGGGGAAUUUUGGACAAUGGGGGCAACCCUGAUCCAGCCAUGCCGCGUGCGGGAAGAAGGCCUUCGGGUUGUAAACCGCUUUUGUUCGGGAAGAAAUCAUCUGGGAUAAUACCCCGGGGGGAUGACGGUACCGGAAGAAUAAGCACCGGCUAACUACGUG
This 484-nucleotide ribosomal RNA is filed under the name uncultured bacterium. Its description in RNAcentral is "partial 16S ribosomal RNA". It matches the Rfam family "Bacterial small subunit ribosomal RNA", at positions 29 to 507 of the family's 1533-position model. The record is from RNAcentral.